GAAGAACAUCUCGUGACGCCUAAGGACAGUUGACUAGCUAGCUAAAUAACGUUAAGCAAAUCGCUUUACUAUUUUUAAAUGUUAGCUGGUUAACGUUACUGUUUGUAACUUGACAAUGUUAACUUUCUGUCUCCCUUUAUUGUUCGUGUUACCGGACAACUGUGGGGCACUUUUAUUGUCCAUGUAAUGUUAGUUGGGCAAAUCUAAAGUUGUCUGCCAACUUAAAUAACGUAACGUUAGCUAGUCCAACGUUAGCGUCCGUCAACUAACUUGAAGACCCUAACGUUAACUCUGAAGGCAUUAUUGACACAUGGCCGUUCCUAAGAUAACAUCAACUCACCUUGGCUUUCAACUGGGACCACAGAGACGCCGACUGGGUUUUUAUAGAGACACAUGAUGAGCUGUUCUCUCCAGUGGAUUCCACAGGACAACAUUUAUAUGUGGGACCACACAGCAGGACUUCUCUCUGCUGUCUGGUUCCUGAAAGAUGUUGAUGACAUCACUCACCCUCAAGCUCCACUAGCACAUGUGCCCCACAACAUUAGACAUUAAACCCUCCUGUCCAUCUUCAGUACCUUAAGCAACACACACACACACACACACAAUGAUAUCCCCAUAGACACAUAGGGUGGUUUGUGCCCAUAUUCAUAUUACUUAAAAGUGAAAGUAUGCAAGCUAUCUACUUGUAAGAACACACAUAAAAGUAGUGGAACUUGCUAUUACAUUGAAAUUGCAUUAUGCGAUUACAAAAUGUGGAACUUCAUAAUGGUCAUUUUCCAGACAAAGCUGAAUGGUACAGUUCAAUUCUUGUCAAAUCCGUGUGGUUUAGAUAUAUUUUUUAAAGAUAUAUAUUGUUUUCAGCAAUAGUAGCAGUACUUAUUCAAUUUAUGAGAAGGUGUUACAGCAGGUCGCACGCACGGGUCCGCAUAUCGUCAUGUCGAAGUUCCUCCACUGAAGGUCAGACCUCCACCUAGCGUAGCGGCUUGCCGCUCAAGAAACGCUCGGUCCGAUGAGUGAUUGCCGACUAUUGGCUUGCGGAUUGUCUGCAGCCGGAGGCCCGACCGCGGCAAUCCGCUGACGGCGUGCCACCGCAAAAAUGCUGGCGGACCGACAGGUCAUUGUUGGCUGGGAACAGUGCGGUAGUAUCUAACAAUUAACAACAAUACACACAUCUAAAAGUAAAGAAUGGAAUUAAGAAAUAUAUAAAUAUUACGACGAGCAAUG
Molecule: long non-coding RNA, 1224 nt
Organism: Coregonus clupeaformis (lake whitefish)
Lineage: Eukaryota; Metazoa; Chordata; Actinopteri; Salmoniformes; Salmonidae
Exons: 3
Source: RefSeq, a predicted model, not a curated record